RNAcentral lists this ribosomal RNA (253 nucleotides) under uncultured bacterium. RNAcentral describes it as "partial 16S ribosomal RNA". It matches the Rfam family "Bacterial small subunit ribosomal RNA", at positions 524 to 776 of the family's 1533-position model. The record is from RNAcentral.
UACGUAGGGCGCAAGCGUUAUCCGGAAUUAUUGGGCGUAAAGAGCUCGUAGGCGGUUUGUCGCGUCUGCCGUGAAAGUCCGGGGCUCAACUCCGGAUCUGCGGUGGGUACGGGCAGACUAGAGUGAUGUAGGGGAGACUGGAAUUCCUGGUGUAGCGGUGAAAUGCGCAGAUAUCAGGAGGAACACCGAUGGCGAAGGCAGGUCUGUGGGCAUUACCUGACGCUGAGGAGCGAAAGUGUGGGGAGCGAACAGG